CGUUUGUCCUACCUAAACUACAUAUAUGAAGACAGUAUAUUUAUUUAUUAUUUUGUUUACAAUUACGUGUACAAGUCGUCCUUUAAAUGCAGCGUGCAUGAAAGUAAAAUUAAAUACUACAAGGACUGUACUAUUCACAUGCUUGGGCAACUGCAUACAUUUUUUUGUUAAACAUAAACGUCGCGCAUAGUAACCAGCUAUACGCUAUCUCGCACUAACGCAUGUUCGCGCAGACUUGUAUUAUAGUUUGGCGGUGUAAAGCUUGUUGAUCGCUACAUUAAUAAUGUUUGAUGAAAGUGCAAGUGCGUGUGUCAAUGACGAAACGAGGUCAGUUAAUCGCGUGGCGGUUGGAAACCAAGCUGCUGUUCUUAAAAUAAAGAUUAAGAAUUUAUAUGAGCGGCUCCAUAGAUUAUCCUCUGAACUGGAUUCUGUGCGAUUUCGCGAUGUUGAUGCCUACGAGAUGCAAGAUUAUAUAAGCCUCUGGCCUCUGACUUGCAGGCAAAAUUUGAAACAACUUAUGAGGCAGAUGGAUGUGAGUCAUGCCAGCAUUGAAGUGGACUUUAGUCAAAGUUUGAGUCAACUAUUAUUCGUCUAUGGGUGUCUCUUCAGCGCGAGCGCAUUGUUCCACUUUUAAUUCAGCCGCAGCUGAUAAUUUGCGUUCCAGUAUUUUUGUUGCAAACUAGUCUCGAUUGCCUCAACUGCAAUUAACAGAGCUCAAUGGAAAUUACCCAGAGUGGGUCGAUUUCUCGAGUAUGUUCACCACGGUCAUUGACAAGGAUCCCUAUUUGACCAACAUUGAAAAACUGCAACAUCUAUGGUCGUGCCUGAAAGGAACAGCACUGGAUACAGUCGAUCAAAGAUUUCGCUGCAGUAACAAAUUUGCUAAAUGGCGAAAACGGCUCCGUAAGCAAGCGCAUGUCUAAAGAGAAUAUCAUCGAGUUUGAUGAUGUGCAAAGGGAUGCAUUCGAGAGGCUAAGAAAUAUUUUAGCUUCAGAAGACGUCAUACUCAGUUAUUCUGAUUUCCGAAAACCAUUCGAUCCAACGACGGAUGCUUCUGCAUAUGGUAUCGGAGCGGUACUGUCACAAGAAGGCACGCCAAUCACAAUGAUAUCAAGAACUCUAAAAGAUAACGAAGCGCAUUUCGCAUCAAACGAAACAGAUCUUUUGGCUAUAGAAUGGGCGUUGGCCACUCACCUUCGCUGCGUCGGAUAGAACCCAAACGCAAAGAUAAAAAAAUGGAAGGCGUAUAUGAACACAACACAAACAUUUUUUGCAAGCCAGGCAAAGAAAACCAUGUAGCGGAUGCGCUUUCGAGGCAAAACGUAAAUGCUUGCAAAAUGAACUAUCGUAUAACUCACCUACACGAUAGAAACCACAGACAAACCGCUUAAUUAUUUUAGGAACCAAAUAAUUCUAAAGAAGGCACAGUUUCCGUUGAAACGUACAUUUGUACUAUUUCGAGAAAAAGUGCGGAACACCAUAUAUUUCACAAAAGAUGACGAGGUCCUCCAGGAAAUAAAAAUUGUGGUGCAACCAAGCCUCGUAAACGCGAUUCAGUGCGGGCUGCACUUAGCACUCCUACAGAAUGAACUCGUAAAAGCAUUUCCGGCAGCCAAAUUUUGGCACUGCAAAAAUCUAGUGACCGAUGUCACAAACAACCGAAUAAAGAGAAAUAGUUAAAGCUGAACAUAACCGCGCCCAUAGAACGGCCCAGGAGAAUGUAAAACAAAUCCUUGGCGAUUACUAUAUAUAGUGAGACAUCCCACAAAACAGGAACUAGGUAUAACACCGAUACCAUCAAACGCGGGUGAAAUGCUCCAUUUGAUGACACUGUAGAACUAAUAACGCACGCGACUAUCGAAUACAAUCGGACGAUUCAUUCAGUGACCAAUAGAGGUUAUUCACGCGUCGACUGAAGAGUCAAGAGUGAAAAUAAUUGUACCCAGCAGACCCAACUAGAGAGAAACAAUCCAAAUCGACAAAAAUGGGUUUUCAAAGUAGGAGAAAAAGUAUUCACAAAAUAAAAUUGAAGGCUAGGGAACAAGCUAACAGAGGAAGUUGUACAAGCACACUUGGGAAUGUCUGUUCUUAUAAAAGCGAGGGUGGUCCAUAAGGACAACCUAAGGGUUAUCGGCUUGGUUAUUGUCCUUCUAAUAGCACCAAAUGCUCGGAUCACCGACUAUUCUCACUCCAAGUAUAUUCCGAUGGUUGAAGGUAAUGUACUAGUAUGGGAGCAGAGAGGCUACGUUAGACCUUGUAGUAAGCUAACGGAGCUAGCAGCAAUAAUAGACGAAACAGGCAAACCGUCGAGACUUUUCUGCAAUCCCACAUGCGUAAAUUACUAGACGGGGAUUUACUGCUAGGGUGCAUCACAGAAUCGCCAGGAGUUUGGAUUUUCUGCGCACGGCACUCAAGGUUGUAGCCGGCACACCAGAUGCCGCAGAUUUAGAUAUGAUUAGGAUGACGGAAUCAAAGUUGAUCGAGUCAAAUAAUAUGCAGGUAGUAAUAAAUACGGAAACCCAGAAGCAAAUAAAUCUGCUUACAGAUACCGUUAACAAAUUAAUAAAGGCAAAAAACAGCGAGUUUUUUGCCACUCCACAUCUCUAUGAAGCGCUGUUAGCAAGAAAAAGAAUGCUGAUAACUGCGAUUCAGAACCUGAUGCUUGGUAUUACCCUGGCCUCCCCCAUAAAGGUCCUCCAAUCAGAAAGUAUUGUUCAUAUUAUAAUCAAUUAUCCAAAAAUUAAGUCCGUCUGUAGAAAAGUUAUAAUUUUGCCUGUGUCACAUGGACACGACGUACUUCAACUACAGGACGACAUCGUAGCCGAGUGCAACAGCGAAAUUCUGGCAGUCGUCAACCGUGAUGCAACCACCUACGCAUCAAUCUGCAAAUUGUCUCAUCACGACACUUGCGCACGCGGCCUACAUUCCGGUGGGACGGCACACUGUCGCACUCAGUCGAGCUACUUAGAACCAAUCACUGUUAUAGAUGUUAGUAUCAUAGUGGUAAAUGAGAGCCACGCAAGGGGCAGUACAGAUGAAGAGCAGUAGUAUCAAUAAACGGGUCUUAUCUCAUAACACUCGAGCGUUCGGCCAUGGUCAACAGCGUCAAGUACAUCAACCAGCGCGAAGCCUUAUGGAAGAUGCCGGGUUUUGCGGCUUCCCCUUUAGUCAACAUCAUAACCCACGACCCGAUCCUUAGCUAGCCACUCUUGCACUGGAUGAAUUUUUAAAACCUUAUUACCAUCCAAGGCUUGCAAGAAAGGAUGGACGCUGUGGGAUCGCCCAAGAUAUUGUGCGCUGCGGGACUUGGGCUCAGCCUUGUGUUCAGUGCCCUCAUCUUCUUCGUUCAACGACUUAGGAGGAAACGACCUUCGAAGGAGAUUCAGAAGGUCGUCGAGAGCUUUAAGAUGGACGAGGACGCCCUUUUUUCAAAAGAGGGAGUAGUUAACGAGUGCCCUUCGCGCGCAACAGUUUGACAAUUUUUUGUCAACCAGAACAUUGGUCAACAGUUGCGCGCAUGAUGCUGACACAGCGGAUUCUUGGUGGCCAGUGCUCUGAUUGAAGUGGUCAGCGUCUGUAGCCUGAGCCCUUGCCUGUGUCGCAAGAGCAGUGUUCUCGCUUAUGCUUAGUCGGCUUGCCGACUGCUGUUGCAAAAGCUACAUUAUAAUUUUUUUUAUGCACCAGCCGCUGUGGCUUCUAGUUCUUAAGUUUCGUUCUGUUCACACAUUCAACAAGUGCACUGCUUCUGUAAUACAUUACUCCGGCUUUGCCACAUUUGAUAUCAUAUUAUUUAAUUGCUUAGCCACAAGGCUAGCGAUUGGGAGCUUCAAGGCACCAACUUAUACUCCAGUUAUUCUGCAAUUGGAAUAACCCUGGAGGACUAAAUCUUCAGAGACUUGGCCACUGGACUGUCGCUGAACUCUUGCAAUCUCGCCAGCGAUGACGAUACCCCGAGGAAGUGACGGCGCACGCCGCCAAUUGCGUAAUUUAUAUACGUUACUGCAAAAGCUAGACAGCGCUAGGCAAGCUGGCUGGGACGAUGUUGCGCAGUUGGACGUCUUACCACCCCAUAAGCGGCUUGCAGCCUUCAUCGAGAAACGUUGCAAGAGGCUGGAAAAUGCAGAUCACGCUACGACAGUGUAAGCGCCUAGCUGCCAGAUAGGGCAGAACAACAGUACUAGUAAAAAA
Drosophila montana is the source of this 4188-nucleotide long non-coding RNA. RefSeq lists it as uncharacterized. The transcript is spliced from 3 exons. Lineage: Eukaryota; Metazoa; Arthropoda; Insecta; Diptera; Drosophilidae. The record is from RefSeq and is a predicted model, not a curated record.